CGGGGGCCCGCACAAGCGGUGGAGCAUGUGGUUUAAUUCGAUGCAACGCGAAGAACCUUACCUGGUCUUGACAUCCACAGAACUUUCCAGAGAUGGAUUGGUGCCUUCGGGAACUGUGAGACAGGUGCUGCAUGGCUGUCGUCAGCUCGUGUUGUGAAAUGUUGGGUUAAGUCCCGCAACGAGCGCAACCCUUAUCCUUUGUUGCCAGCGGUCCGGCCGGGAACUCAAAGGAGACUGCCAGUGAUAAACUGGAGGAAGGUGGGGAUGACGUCAAGUCAUCAUGGCCCUUACGACCAGGGCUACACACGUGCUACAAUGGCGCAUACAAAGAGAAGCGACCUCGCGAGAGCAAGCGGACCUCAUAAAGUGCGUCGUAGUCCGGAUUGGAGUCUGCAACUCGACUCCAUGAAGUCGGAAUCGCUAGUAAUCGUGGAUCAGAAUGCCACGGUGAAUACGUUCCCGGGCCUUGUACACACCGCCC
RNAcentral lists this ribosomal RNA (481 nucleotides) under Bifidobacterium longum. Its description in RNAcentral is "bacterial SSU rRNA". It matches the Rfam family "Bacterial small subunit ribosomal RNA", at positions 914 to 1395 of the family's 1533-position model. The record is from RNAcentral. Lineage: Bacteria; Bacillati; Actinomycetota; Actinomycetes; Bifidobacteriales; Bifidobacteriaceae.